RNAcentral lists this long non-coding RNA (1812 nucleotides) under Ovis aries (sheep). RNAcentral describes it as "lncRNA (ENSOARG00000026308.1)". Lineage: Eukaryota; Metazoa; Chordata; Mammalia; Artiodactyla; Bovidae. The record is from RNAcentral.
AACGUAAUGUUGAGUUUGGUGUGCCAAUAUUUUGUUGAGGAUUUUGCAUCUGUAUUCAUUGGCCUGUAAUUUUCUUUUUUCUUCCUUCAUUUCCUUCUAUUUUAUAUAUAUAUUUAAAUUGAACAUAAUGCUUGCUUCCUAAAAUGAGUUUGUAGUGUGGCUUCCCAUUUCAUUUUUGGAGUAUUUUUUAGAAUCAUUGACAGUAAUUCUUUUUUUCUUUUAAAUUUGUCCAAUUAUUUCUUUUAUUUUUUGCCUUUUUAUUUAUUUUUUUAAUUUUUAUUUUUACUUUAUUUUACUUUACAAUACUGUAUUGGUUUCGACAUACAUUGACCUGAAUCCACCACGGAUGUACAUGCGAUCCAAACAUGAACCCCCCUCCCACCUCCCUCCCCAUAACAUCUUUCUGGGUCAUCCCCAUGCACCAGCCCCAAGCAUGCUGCAUCCUGCGUCAGACAUAGACUGGCGAUUCAAUUCACAUGAUAGUAUACAUGUUAGAAUGUCAUUCUCCCAAAUCAUCCCACCCUCUCCCUCUCCCUCUGAGUCCAAAAGUCCGUUAUACACAUCUGUGUCUUUUUUCCUGUCUUGCAUACAGGGUCGUCAUUGCCAUCUUCCUAAAUUCCAUAUAUAUGUGUUAGUAUACUGUAUUGGUAUGCAAGACAGGGAAAGAGACACAGAUGUGUAUAACGGACUUUUGGACUCAGAGGGAGAGGGAGAGGGUGGGAUGAUUUGGGAGAAUGACAUUCUAACAUGUAUACUAUCAUUUGAAUUGAAUCGCCAGUCUAUGUCUGAUGCAGGAUGCAGCAUGCUUGGGGCUGGUACAUGGGGAUGACCCAGAAAGAUGUUAUGGGGAGGGAGGUGGGAGGGGGGUUCAUGUUUGGGAAUGCAUGUAAGAAUUAAAGAUUUUAAAAUUUAAAAAAUAAAAAACUAAAAUUAAAAAAAAGAAAAAGAAAAAAAAAAAAGAAAACAUCCCAUGCCUCUCACAGUUGGGAGGCUGUAAUCAAUCACAUGUGGCCGGACAAGCCUGAUCAGGCAGGCCAGAGAACCUUCAGAGUUCGUAAGUUGAAAUGUUCUUGUCAUGCCCAGGAAUUUUUAUUAACUGGAGCUGCAAGUUAACUCCUUCUCUGAGAGAAAUGGUUAUGGGGGCGAGCUCCCCAUAAAGUACUCUGGUUUUGGGGGUAGAUGCUCAGGAACAGGGGGUUUCCUGAAGCUUGAUCACGCCUUUGCGUAUGCCAAGCUUCCUUCCUCAUGCCCUUUGCUAUGGGCGGAGUUCCUCAUGCUGGCCCCCGGCACUGGGGUUUCAGUCUAUUGCCUGGUUCUUUUCUUUAAUUUUUUUGCUUCUUAUUUUCCUUCUUAUAUGGUCUACCAUAAUAUACAGUCUGAGCCAGCUGCAACAGUUUUUUAAAGAUGGAUUUGGUCCAAAUGUCUGUUUUCAUAAAUUACAUCAGAUAUCUGGAUGUAAGAGUGAGAAAUCUAUCUUAUAAGAUCAUUUCUCCUGCACUUUCAAGAUCAUUAGUAAACUUGUGGAGAGCCUCCCAUAAUCUAUCUAGGAAUUUACCAGGAAUGUCCUUCUCUCCCUGCUGUAUGUCAGCCAACUUGUCAUAGUUUAAAGUCUUAGCAUGCAUUUGCUUAAGUCCUUCAAGAAUACAUAUGACAAAGUGACUCUUAUUGGAACCGCUUGGCUCCCAGUAGGAAGGAGGGAUAUUUUGUGUUCCCUCUUUUCCCUUGUUUCACAUUCAAGCCAUUUAUCUCCAAAAGUAGUAGCUUCCCUCAGAAUUAGAGCUCUCAAGUCAGGAGUCAGCAUCUGCCCUAAGA